UGGGUGGCGGUAGUCUCCUUCCUGUUGGCUGGGUCUUCUUCUCCGGCGAGGGGGUCUGGCGGCUAAGGUUAGGGUUAGGUGUGGAUGGGGGUUACUUAUAUUCGUCCGCUUUUGAUCUGGACUGUUAAUCAUAUUUGAUCUGAACUGUCCGAUCGCGAUUAAAUAGGGAGUGAAUAUGGACCGUUCAUCACGAUUCAAUCUGAACCAUUCAUAGCGAUCUAAUU
RNAcentral lists this long non-coding RNA (224 nucleotides) under Carica papaya (papaya). Its description in RNAcentral is "long non-coding RNA (CPAP_LNC000257)". Lineage: Eukaryota; Viridiplantae; Streptophyta; Magnoliopsida; Brassicales; Caricaceae. The record is from RNAcentral.